AUGCUCUCCGCUGCCUUCGCUGUUCACCCCGCCGCCGUCGCGUCGCAGCGGCAUUCGGUCCGCCAGCACCAGCAAUUCUGCGCUCCAAUCCGGACCGCGACGCCAAGGCGGCGGUUGCCAGUGGCGAUGCUUUCGGUCACUAACGCCGUUGCCACCCAGAGCCGCGAGAGCUCCCCCGCGGCGCCUCGCAAGCUCUCUUUCCCGAUACUGGUGAACAGCUGCACCGGGAAAAUGGGGAAGUCUGUUGCUGAAGCAGCUGUGUCUGCUGGUCUUCAGUUAGUUCCGGUGUCAUUCAGUGCAAUAGAGGUUCCUGAUGGAAAGCUCAACAUCUGUGACAGAGAUAUUCAUAUUCAUGAUCCAUCUGAAAGUGAACGUAUUCUCCGUUCCAUUGCUAAGGACUACCCAGAUAUGGUAGUUGUUGACUACACAGUGCCUGAUGCUGUUAAUGCCAAUGCUGAACUUUACUGCAAACUUGGCUUGCCAUUUGUAAUGGGCACAACUGGUGGAAAUAGGCAACUGUUGAACAAAACUGUGCAGGAUGCGAAUGUUUAUGCUGUGAUAUCUCCACAAAUGGGGAAGCAGGUUGUUGCUUUCCUUGCUGCCAUGGAAAUCAUGGCAGAGAAAUUCCCUGGUGCAUUUGCAGGUUACAAACUAGAGGUAAUGGAGUCUCAUCAAGCGACAAAAUUGGAUGUUUCUGGCACUGCCAAAGCUGUAAUCUCUUGCUUUCAGAAGUUGGGUGUCUCAUUCGACUUAGACGAGCAGCGAGGUGUCCCUGCUCUGAUGGAUCCUAGGAGAAGAGCUACAUCAGAUGAUCCAGUUUGGAAGUAUGGGUUUUGGCCAGAUUUAGAGAGGAAAGAUUUACUCCUGUGUACAUUGUGUGGCAAGAUAGUCCAUGCUGGAGUGAGAAGGCUGAAGCAACACCUUUCUGGGGGUUGUAGUGAUGCAGAUAUGUGUCCCAAGGCAUCUACGGAGAUUAGGAUAGAGAUGCGCAAAUCCUUAAACACUAGAAAGUUUAAAGCUAUGGAGCGAUAUAUUGAUGAGAAGGAUGAAGCUGAAGUUCAAAGGCGCCUUUCUGUCAUAUACAGAAGAUGA
Molecule: ribosomal RNA, 1092 nt
Filed under: Triticum aestivum (bread wheat)
Lineage: Eukaryota; Viridiplantae; Streptophyta; Magnoliopsida; Poales; Poaceae
Description: partial small subunit ribosomal RNA
Source: RNAcentral